UAACGAAUAUUCCGCAAUGCGCGAAAGCGUGACGGAGCAAUGCCGCGUGCAGGAUGAAGCCCCUCGGGGUGUAAACUGCUGUCAGGGUCCACCAAGCUCUGAGGAGACCCAGAGGAAGAGCCGGCUAACUCUGUGCCAGCAGCCGCGGUAAUACAGAGGGCUCGAGCGUUAAUCGGAAUCACUGGGCUUAAAGGGUGCGCAGGCGGAUGGGCAAGUGCUUUGUGAAAUCCCACGGCUUAACCGUGGAAUGGCUUGGCAGACUGCCCGUCUUGAGCCCGGCAGGGGCCGUCGGAACGGUAGGUGGAGCGGUGAAAUGCGUAGAUAUCUACCGGAACGCCAAAGGUGAAGACAGACGGCUGGGCCGGCGCUGACGCUCAGGCACGAAAGCGUGGGGAGCGAACGGGAUUAGAUACCCCCGUAGUCC
This 424-nucleotide ribosomal RNA is filed under the name uncultured prokaryote. RNAcentral describes it as "bacterial SSU rRNA". It matches the Rfam family "Bacterial small subunit ribosomal RNA", at positions 355 to 796 of the family's 1533-position model. The record is from RNAcentral.